UACAGACUAAGUGUAAGCAUGUGGG
Molecule: non-coding RNA, 25 nt
Filed under: Mus musculus (house mouse)
Lineage: Eukaryota; Metazoa; Chordata; Mammalia; Rodentia; Muridae
Source: RNAcentral